This 1100-nucleotide long non-coding RNA is filed under the name Capra hircus (goat). Its description in RNAcentral is "lncRNA (ENSCHIG00010003207.1)". The record is from RNAcentral. Lineage: Eukaryota; Metazoa; Chordata; Mammalia; Artiodactyla; Bovidae.
AGCCCCGGGCAGUGAGGGGCUCCACCAGGGAGACCCCUCAGGUCUCAGGGAUCCAUGGCCCUGCGGGCAUUGGGGGAACAGUCAAGGACCUGUAAGCCAAUGCAUGGGCCAGAAGAGGGGCGGCGUGGGAGACGCAGGGUCAGGUAGGCCUGCAGGUGCUGGGGGUGCUCUGUGUGUGCUGGGGGUGCCUGCCCUUCCCCCACGGACCGCCCCUCUGUCACCAGACAGGGGAUUGGCAAGUAGGGGAGGGGCAAGCCUCAGCUUGUGAUGCCUGUGGGACCCCCAGUCCAGCCAAGUGGAGAGGAGGACACCAUUAAAACAGACGCAAGUCUCAUUUUGGAGGCCUGUGGGCAGGAUUCCAGCCCAGACAAGGCCCAGAGUUCGAAUGUGUGUACAAAACCCCGAGCCCACCUGCCGGCCCAGGAGGGGGCCUGGACCCCCACAGAGGGCAGUGGGGCCACCUGGACGCCCUGGGCCUCUGCGCAGCCCAGCCUGGGGUGGGCAGUGAUGCUCCUGGGGUUUCCCCCAGGUCCAGACGGCGGAGCUGGAGCAGGCCCACAGCCAGCAGCUCCAGGAGCUGGUCGCCCAGCACCAGCGACUCCAGGCUGCCAAGACCGAGCGCCUGCACGGGGCCCGACCACAGGCUGCACAGGCCCCAGUAUCCCGAGAGAGGGCCCAGCAGCAGCAGGUGGCCAGCCGGAGGCAGCCGCUGGACCGGGACGUGCAGUGGCUGCAAGCCUGCCUCCACCAGGCCUUCCGGGCCAAGAAGUGAAGGCGGCUCCCAAGCCCAGGUGGCCAGGCCGCCCCAGCCCCGACCAGCAGGCAGCAGAACCACCGCACAGCAGGGACUCGAGCUCAAGGGGCGCCCUGGAGUCAGCGGCGCCCUCUGACCCUUGACCGCCAAGCUGCCCCGGCCCUCAGGGGCCCAGGGCUGGCCCGGACUCUGGCAGGCGAGGACCGAGCUCUGGGCCCUGCUCUUUGAGGCGCCCCCCAACCCCCGGCUGCACGGGGCCUCCCUGCGGCCCGCGUCCGACCUGGCACCAGGCAGGCGUGCUGACCGGGCCAGGUCCCGGCAGGCCGACUUCCGCACCGCGGGCUGC